UAUUCCAGCAGCCGCGGUAAUACGUUCCCGGGCCUUGUACACACCGCCCGUCACAUCACGAAAGUCGGUUGCACUAAAAGUCGGUGGGCUAACCCGCAAGGGAGGCAGCCGCCUAAAGUGUGAUCGGUAAUUGGGGUGAAGUCGUAACAAGGUAGCUGUAGGAAAACCUGCGGCUGGAUCACCUCCUUUCUAAGGAGCUUCUUUUCGCCUCGGAUCAAAACGAGGUCGCGAAAUUAGUUCCCAGGUCAAGAGGAAUCACCGCUCUUCAUUGAGCGAAACGUUUCGUCCUCUUGUCUUUCCUGUUCAGUACUCAGGGCACCGGCCCGUCGUUCGUUGACAAUUGAAUAUGGGUAUGUAGAUAGAGGGGCACGACAUGCAUUGCCUGACGGAAGUCGGGUGGUGUAUGAAACUGCUAAUCGCAUGAAAUCAAGGCACUUUAUGGUCAAUUUACUAAGGGUUGACGGUGGAUACCUAGGCACACAAAGAAUCACUAGUGAAUU
This 500-nucleotide unclassified non-coding RNA is filed under the name uncultured bacterium. RNAcentral's name for it is "partial contains 16S ribosomal RNA, 16S-23S ribosomal RNA intergenic spacer, and 23S ribosomal RNA". The stretch from base 1 to 189 matches the Rfam family "Bacterial small subunit ribosomal RNA", at positions 1345 to 1533 of the family's 1533-position model. The record is from RNAcentral.